RNAcentral lists this ribosomal RNA (455 nucleotides) under uncultured bacterium. RNAcentral's name for it is "bacterial SSU rRNA". It matches the Rfam family "Bacterial small subunit ribosomal RNA", at positions 28 to 501 of the family's 1533-position model. The record is from RNAcentral.
GACGAACGCUGGCGGCGUGCCUAACACAUGCAAGUCGAACGGGGUCAGCCCUUCGGGACUGACUUAGUGGCGAACGGGUGAGUAACGCGUGAGGAACCUGCCUUUCAGUGGGGGACAACAGUUGGAAACGACUGCUAAUACCGCAUAACAUGUACGGAUCGCAUGAUAGAUGUAUCAAAGAUUUAUCGCCAAAGGAUGGACUCGCGUCUGAUUAGAUAGUUGGUGGGGUAACGGCCUACCAAGUCGACGAUCAGUAGCCGACCUGAGAGGGUGAUCGGCCACAUUGGGACUGAGACACGGCCCAAACUCCUACGGGAGGCAGCAGUGGGGAAUAUUGGGCAAUGGGGGAAACCCUGACCCAGCAACGCCGCGUGGAGGAAGAAGGUUUCGGAUCGUAAACUCCUGUCCUCAGGGAAGAGCAGAAGACGGUACCUGAGGAGGAAGCCCCGGCUAAC